Small nucleolar RNA from Hucho hucho (huchen), 134 nucleotides. The record is from Ensembl. NCBI's taxonomy places the organism in Eukaryota, Metazoa, Chordata, Actinopteri, Salmoniformes, Salmonidae.
UGGAGGACUGAGAAAGUUUAGCAGCUUGUUCUGUGCUGUUAUAACUGGUUAUAACCUCCUAAAUGGAAAAUAAGGCAGAUGCAACAACCGGCUCUGAGACACUUAAGAACUGAUGUUGUGUUUGUGAACAUAAU